Molecule: ribosomal RNA, 243 nt
Filed under: uncultured Staphylococcus sp.
Lineage: Bacteria; Bacillati; Bacillota; Bacilli; Caryophanales; Staphylococcaceae
Description: partial 16S ribosomal RNA
Rfam family: Bacterial small subunit ribosomal RNA
Source: RNAcentral
CGGCGGACGGGUGAGUAACACGUGGAUAACCUACCUAUAAGACUGGAUAACUUCGGGAAACCGGAGCUAAUACCGGAUAAUAUAUUGAACCGCAUGGUUCAAUAGUGAAAGACGGUUUUGCUGUCACUUAUAGAUGGAUCCGCGCCGCAUUAGCUAGUUGGUAAGGUAACGGCUUACCAAGGCGACGAUGCGUAGCCGACCUGAGAGGGUGAUCGGCCACACUGGAACUGAGACACGGUCCAG